AAAAGACAAGGUGCUGCUUUCUUUCCGUCACCUCUCCUGUUCGUGAUGGCGGAGGUGAUGAACAAAGAAACUAUAACGUGCUCAAGGUCGUACAGAAACCUGUGGCAGAAGGCAGAGAAAGCACUAUUACUACAUGUGAUACUGAAACGAGUGAGGCAGUAGAUGAAAGGCACAGGUAAGGCAGAAUCCAUCUACUACUAUUAUCGCUUCAUCCUGCGUUUUAAGUGCUUCAGUAAGAGAUAUGGAGUUCAAACAUCCUCCAACAGACAUUAGGAAUCAUGAAGGCAUUCAUGAAAUAUUUAGUGAUGUGUGCUUUCUGUCUCUGAAAAUCAGUCUGUGCCCUCCCCACUG
Molecule: long non-coding RNA, 351 nt
Filed under: Coturnix japonica (Japanese quail)
Lineage: Eukaryota; Metazoa; Chordata; Aves; Galliformes; Phasianidae
Description: lncRNA (ENSCJPG00005012650.1)
Source: RNAcentral